GGAGGCAGCAGUGGGGAAUAUUGCACAAUGGGCGAAAGCCUGAUGCAGCCAUGCCGCGUGUAUGAAGAAGGCCUUCGGGUUGUAAAGUACUUUCAGUUGUGAGGAAGGGGGUGUCGUUAAUAGCGGCAUCUCUUGACGUUAGCAACAGAAGAAGCACCGGCUAACUCCGUGCCAGCAGCCGCGGUAAUACGGAGGGUGCGAGCGUUAAUCGGAAUUACUGGGCGUAAAGCGCAUGCAGGUGGUUCAUUAAGUCAGAUGUGAAAGCCCGGGGCUCAACCUCGGAACUGCAUUUGAAACUGGUGAACUAGAGUACUGUAGAGGGGGGUAGAAUUUCAGGUGUAGCGGUGAAAUGCGUAGAGAUCUGAAGGAAUACCAGUGGCGAAGGCGGCCCCCUGGACAGAUACUGACACUCAGAUGCGAAAGCGUGGGGAGCAAACAGGAUUAGAUACCCUGGUAGUCCACGCCGUAAACGAUGUCUACUUGGAGGUUGUGGCCUUGAGCCGUGGCUUUCGGAGCUAACGCGUUAAGUAGACCGCCUGGGGAGUACGGUCGCAAGAUUAAAACUCAAAUGAAUUGACGGGGGCCCGCACAAGCGGUGGAGCAUGUGGUUUAAUUCGAUGCAACGCGAAGAACCUUACCUACUCUUGACAUCCAGAGAAGCCAGCGGA
This 668-nucleotide ribosomal RNA is filed under the name Vibrio sp. RNAcentral describes it as "bacterial SSU rRNA". It matches the Rfam family "Bacterial small subunit ribosomal RNA", at positions 344 to 1004 of the family's 1533-position model. Lineage: Bacteria; Pseudomonadati; Pseudomonadota; Gammaproteobacteria; Vibrionales; Vibrionaceae. The record is from RNAcentral.